This 345-nucleotide long non-coding RNA is filed under the name Homo sapiens (human). RNAcentral's name for it is "HSALNT0080332". Lineage: Eukaryota; Metazoa; Chordata; Mammalia; Primates; Hominidae. The record is from RNAcentral.
AAACAAGAAAAGAGAUGAGUAUAGCCUUCUGGUUAAGAGUUCAGUUCCCAAAAUAAUAUUCACAUUACGUCUAAAGUAAUUAAUACAAUACUGAGGUUGAAAAACUGAAAAUUUUCCAUUAUAAGAAUAACAGUUGAUUACUGAAACUUAACUGGGAUGUACUUCUGUGUGUGAAAAGGAAAACCUCUUCUGACUGUAUUUUGGAGAUUUGUCAGGGAAUGGGACUUUGAUCUGAAGAAAUUACCAAACAUUAAAAUGAGAAAAAUUUGCGCUAAUGAUGCAAUUCCCAAGACGUGCAAGAGGAAAACUAUUAUAACUGUAGACCAAGAUUUGGGGGAAUUGGAA